This 253-nucleotide ribosomal RNA is filed under the name uncultured Parachlamydia sp. RNAcentral's name for it is "partial 16S ribosomal RNA". It matches the Rfam family "Bacterial small subunit ribosomal RNA", at positions 524 to 776 of the family's 1533-position model. The record is from RNAcentral. Lineage: Bacteria; Pseudomonadati; Chlamydiota; Chlamydiia; Parachlamydiales; Parachlamydiaceae.
UACGGAGGGUGCAAGCAUUAAUCGGAGUGAUUGGGCGUAAAGGGCGCGUAGGCGGGCUUGUAAGUCAGGUGUGAAAUUCCGAAGCUCAACUUCGGAGCUGCACUUGAAACUGCAAGUCUGGAGGAAUGGCGGAGAAAACGGAAUUCCACGUGUAGCGGUGAAAUGCGUAGAUAUGUGGAGGAACACCUGUGGCGAAAGCGGUUUUCUAGCUUAUUCCUGACGCUGAGGCGCGAGAGCAAGGGGAGCAAACAGG